GGUGCCAGCAGCCGCGUAAUUCCAGNUCCAAUAGCGUAUAUUAAAGUUGUUGCAGUUAAAAGCUCGUAGUUGAAUUUCGGGAUCAGCAGGUUGGUCUUGCCACUGGUAUGUACUAGCUUGCUGAUUCCUCCUUCUUGUAGAACCGUAAUGCCAUUAAUUUGGUGUUGCGGGGAAACAGGACUGUUACUUUGAAAAAAUUAGAGUGUUUAAAGCAGGCCAGCGCCUGAAUACAUUAGCAUGGAAUAAUGAAAUAGGACGUUCGAACCUAUUUUGUUAGGUUUCUAGGAUUGACGUAAUGAUUAAUAGGGAUAGUUGGGGGCAUUAGUAUUCAAUUGUCAGAGGUGAAAUUCUUGGAUUUAUUGAAGACUGACUACUGCGAAAGCAUUUGCCAAGGAUGUUUUCAUUAAUCAAGAACGAAAGUUAGGGGAUCGAAGACGAUCAGAUACCGUCGUAGUCUUAACCAUAAACUAUGCCGACUAGGGAUCGGAUGAUGUUAAUUUUUUAAUGACUCAUUCGGCGCCUUACG
RNAcentral lists this ribosomal RNA (526 nucleotides) under uncultured Glomus. Its description in RNAcentral is "SSU rRNA". It matches the Rfam family "Eukaryotic small subunit ribosomal RNA", at positions 563 to 1092 of the family's 1831-position model. Lineage: Eukaryota; Fungi; Glomeromycota; Glomeromycetes; Glomerales; Glomeraceae. The record is from RNAcentral.